AACGAACGCUGGCGGCAGGCUUAACACAUGCAAGUCGAACGCUCGUAGCAAUACGGGAGUGGCGGACGGGUGAGUAACGCGUGGGAACGUGCCCUGAGGUACGGAAUAACUGCGGGAAACUGCAGCUAAUACCGUAUGAGCCCCGUGAGGGGGAAAGAUUUAUCGCCUUAGGAGCGGCCCGCGUCGGAUUAGCUAGUUGGUGGGGUAACGGCUUACCAAGGCUUCGAUCCGUAGCUGGUCUGAGAGGACGAUCAGCCACACUGGGACUGAGACACGGCCCAGACUCCUACGGGAGGCAGCAGUGGGGAAUCUUGCGCAAUGGGGGCAACCCUGACGCAGCCAUGCCGCGUGAAUGAUGAAGGCCUUAGGGUUGUAAAGUUCUUUUGCCCGUGACGAUGAUGACGGUAACGGGAGAAUAAGCUCCGGCUAACUUCGUGCCAGCAGCCGCGGUAAAGUAGUCGUG
This 463-nucleotide ribosomal RNA is filed under the name uncultured bacterium. RNAcentral's name for it is "bacterial SSU rRNA". It matches the Rfam family "Bacterial small subunit ribosomal RNA", at positions 29 to 533 of the family's 1533-position model. The record is from RNAcentral.